This 282-nucleotide unclassified non-coding RNA is filed under the name Hevea brasiliensis (rubber tree). Lineage: Eukaryota; Viridiplantae; Streptophyta; Magnoliopsida; Malpighiales; Euphorbiaceae. The record is from RNAcentral.
UCAGAGAGUGCCUUGGAGAGUGAGAUGUCUCUCUUUUUCUCUGGAUUAUUUCUGUUUUAUUAGAAUUUUCUUUUUAUCUCUCUGUUGAUUCCUGAAAUAGGGGAGCAUUUUGGGGGGUGGGGUAGCGGAAAUAUGAAUUUGGAGUAUAUCAGAGAGCAGAAAUUACCAAUUUUUAAUUAUUUGUGGUUAUUUGUGCGUCAAUUGGGCAUUUAGACGUCUCUCGUUAUAUAUAUUUGAAUGUGACAAUGGUAUAUCAGCAGUGGCACAUUAAGUGGUUGUUGG